UGGCUCUAAUCCUUCAACUCUUGUGUGGUCCAUGUCCUUUGCUGUGUAAAUUUGCAUUUGCCUUCAUCCCCACGGAUGCAGUAUAUUUUCUCUGCCUUGAGACAUUGUGUUUGCUGAAGGGAAUACAGCAAAAGCAACAGAGUGUCAGUUCGGAGCCUAGCUCUUCAGUGAUUCUGCUUCUCUUGUGCCUCUGCCACUGUCGUGGAAGAACAUGCCUAGCCUCGUCUGCUGGUAGAAGGAAGAGGAUGAGGAACACAUGGAGCAGACACAUUCAAGCUGAACCCAGCCUAGAUCAUUUGGGCCCUGGCCAACCCACAGAUGUGCAAUUUAAAUAAAUGCCUACUGUUGUAUGCCACUGAGAUUUUAUGGUUGCUGUUUAACAGCAUUAUUGUAGCAAUAUCUAACCAAUACAUGCAAAGUAAAUUUAAGAAAAGGCAAAACAUGUAAAGAAGAGUCUUCAAACAACAAACAAACCAAUCAGAAAUUCACACAUCAUCACUCUAGGUUGGGAUAAUAUUGAGCAGAGGUGGUGAAACAACAGACAUCCAUUUUUUACUUCUGAUUACAAAGGAGAUAUUUCUAUUUUGUCUUAUUCUUGAUUAUUAAGAAAAUGCCUUUAUAAAGGAAUUGUUCACUGUGGGGUAAGAUGUUUUCUGCAGGCUUUUUAGUAGUUAUUAUUUAUCAGAUUAUUUCUGUGCCAAAUGUGCUAAGAGGUUUUAGUGAGAAUAAAU
This is a long non-coding RNA of Galeopterus variegatus (Sunda flying lemur), 731 nucleotides long. RefSeq lists it as uncharacterized. Lineage: Eukaryota; Metazoa; Chordata; Mammalia; Dermoptera; Cynocephalidae. The record is from RefSeq and is a predicted model, not a curated record. The transcript is spliced from 3 exons.